Drosophila santomea is the source of this 405-nucleotide long non-coding RNA. RefSeq lists it as uncharacterized. The transcript has 2 exons. Lineage: Eukaryota; Metazoa; Arthropoda; Insecta; Diptera; Drosophilidae. The record is from RefSeq and is a predicted model, not a curated record.
CCAAAACGCCUCUUUGAAGGAGGUCCAACUAAGAAGGAUUUGCGUUGCGCCAACUGCAACUCAAAAGGACACUUCGCCAAGGAGUGCCUGAAGCCAAAGAGAGAGCCCGGAUCCUGCUACGCUUGUGGAGCGUUCGGACACUUCGUCGGACAAUGCCCGGAGCGCAAGAGCGCCAAUAUCAACAAUUAUAAUGCCUCAUAGACACCGGGAGUCCAAUAUCAUUUGCAAAACUAAGCAGUAUAUCCAGUGAAGUCAAUUUAGAGUCUGCUGCUGAAAACUAUUUCGGGCUAAAUAAAAGCCAACUAAUAAUACUCGGAAAAACCUUAUGUUACAUUACAAAAGAAAGAAUAAAAUGUUAUUUUGAUUUAUACGUAGUUCCAGACGGGUCUAUGAGUCAUAAUGUAA